UACGAAGGGGGCUAGCGUUGUUCGGAUUUACUGGGCGUAAAGGGCGCGUAGGCGGGCGAAUAAGUCAGGGGUGAAAUCCCAAGGCUCAACCUUGGAACUGCCUUUGAUACUGUUUGUCUUGAGUUCGAGAGAGGUAAGUGGAACUGCGAGUGUAGAGGUGAAAUUCGUAGAUAUUCGCAAGAACACCAGUGGCGAAGGCGGCUUACUGGCUCGAUACUGACGCUGAGGCGCGAAAGCGUGGGGAGCAAACAGG
RNAcentral lists this ribosomal RNA (253 nucleotides) under uncultured bacterium. RNAcentral describes it as "partial 16S ribosomal RNA". It matches the Rfam family "Bacterial small subunit ribosomal RNA", at positions 524 to 776 of the family's 1533-position model. The record is from RNAcentral.